This 497-nucleotide ribosomal RNA is filed under the name uncultured bacterium. RNAcentral describes it as "partial 16S ribosomal RNA". It matches the Rfam family "Bacterial small subunit ribosomal RNA", at positions 28 to 507 of the family's 1533-position model. The record is from RNAcentral.
GAUGAACGCUGGCGGCGUGCCUAAUACAUGCAAGUAGAACGCUGAAGCUUGGUGCUUGCACCGAGUGGAUGAGUUGCGAACGGGUGAGUAACGCGUAGGUAACCUGCCUCUUAGCGGGGGAUAACUAUUGGAAACGAUAGCUAAUACCGCAUAAAAGUCGACAUCGCAUGAUGUUGACUUGAAAGGUGCAAUUGCAUCACUAAGAGAUGGACCUGCGUUGUAUUAGCUAGUUGGUGAGGUAACGGCUCACCAAGGCGACGAUACAUAGCCGACCUGAGAGGGUGAUCGGCCACACUGGGACUGAGACACGGCCCAGACUCCUACGGGAGGCAGCAGUAGGGAAUCUUCGGCAAUGGGGGCAACCCUGACCGAGCAACGCCGCGUGAGUGAAGAAGGUUUUCGGAUCGUAAAGCUCUGUUGUAAGAGAAGAACGAGUGUGAGAGUGGAAAGUUCACACUGUGACGGUAACUUACCAGAAAGGGACGGCUAACUACGUG